AAGUCGUAACAAGGUUUCCGUAGGUGAACCUGCGGAAGGAUCAUUAACACAAAGUCACAGUUGUUUCCGGCUCUUCACGGGGCUGGGGCAACAUGUCACUUUUCAACCCCUCUUGCAAACCUGUUUUUUUCUGCUUCUUUCGAGAAACAGAAAAAGUCUUUGUAUUCCCGGGCCAGUUUGGAAAGUCGUUAUGACUCAAGAACUGGUCUGUUGGUUUCAACUUUUAACCCCUUGAACUGUCUUGGACUGAAAUCUGAGUGUUUCUUCCUACGUGGAGGAGGCAUUCUGCCAUUAUAUCAAACGCUGAACAACUCUUAGCAACGGAUAUCUUGGCUCUC
Molecule: unclassified non-coding RNA, 338 nt
Filed under: fungal sp.
Lineage: Eukaryota; Fungi
Description: partial internal transcribed spacer region
Rfam family: Eukaryotic small subunit ribosomal RNA (bases 1-46)
Source: RNAcentral